AACAAUGGUUAGCAAGAACUUUUCUCUAAUUUUCUCAUUUCUCCUCAUCACUGCCUCUCUCUGCUUCACCACUACAAAUGCCACGUCUAAGAGACUCCUCUUUGCCGAUAGUUUCAUCCCCAAGGUCCCCGUAAUUAACACUAAUUCACUUGCGGGCGGGUAUGAGGAUCUAGUUGCAACUCCGCAUCCACCCAGCAAGGGGGCAGGCCAUGAUGGAUCACCAAAAGG
Ipomoea nil (Japanese morning glory) is the source of this 228-nucleotide long non-coding RNA. RefSeq lists it as uncharacterized. The transcript has 2 exons. NCBI's taxonomy places the organism in Eukaryota, Viridiplantae, Streptophyta, Magnoliopsida, Solanales, Convolvulaceae. The record is from RefSeq and is a predicted model, not a curated record.